UCCUCGCCGAACCCGAGUGCUCGAGCCUCGCCGCGCGCCAGGCAUCUCCGAGCCCUAACCGCCGGAGCUCUAACCGGCGACCCCGGCGGUUUUCCUCUCUCCCUCGUGCCUAAUCCGUGACCAAGGGAAGAAGUCGACGCCACUCCACCCAGCGCCGCCGGUCCAAAAAACCCUAGCGCCCAGCAGUGCUCGGCAUCUCCUGGCACAACCUGACCUCUCCCUCUCGGUGUGUUGCUGUCGCGUCGCCGCCGGUCGAGCUGUUCUCCUCAGUCCUACUUCUCCGGCCGACUUCUCCUCUCGGACUUGCGAUCCCCUCAUUUCUUUCCUCACCAGCGCACAUCUUCGACCAGGGGCAGAGCCGAGCCCUAGCCUCGCCUUCUUCUGGUUUUCUUGCGUUGUGCCCUAGGUUUUCUCUUGCUGUUGGAUCCGAACAAAACAGUAGUGAGUAUCAGACAGGAGCAAGCAGUGACGAGUUCUUCUUGUGUCUCUGCUUGGUAGUGCCGAAGACAAUACCGAGUUGUGUUUUAGCCGAAUCUUGGAGCUUCUCCGGGUCUCGACAGUAAGUUCUUCAGGAUUUGAGCAGCACUGAGGCAUCGGAAAAAUUUGAGGACCUUGACGCGAGACGAGUAUCUCGACGUCGGAUUUGGACUGAUUGGACUUUUCC
Long non-coding RNA from Zingiber officinale, 664 nucleotides. RefSeq lists it as uncharacterized. The transcript has 4 exons. NCBI's taxonomy places the organism in Eukaryota, Viridiplantae, Streptophyta, Magnoliopsida, Zingiberales, Zingiberaceae. The record is from RefSeq and is a predicted model, not a curated record.